UCUUCCCCUAGAGUUUUGCAGGUAAUGAGGCUGUAUCCUAAAACAUCAAUAGUUGGCAGAGAGGAGAAAUGGCAUGUCUAUGCUCAGUGUUCUGACCUGUCGAAGUCUAAAUGUUCAGUAGCUUAACACU
Molecule: small nucleolar RNA, 130 nt
Organism: Rattus norvegicus (Norway rat)
Lineage: Eukaryota; Metazoa; Chordata; Mammalia; Rodentia; Muridae
Product: small nucleolar RNA SNORA17
Source: Ensembl